Molecule: small nucleolar RNA, 159 nt
Filed under: Aspergillus wentii DTO 134E9
Lineage: Eukaryota; Fungi; Ascomycota; Eurotiomycetes; Eurotiales; Aspergillaceae
Description: Small nucleolar RNA snR32
Rfam family: Small nucleolar RNA snR32
Source: Rfam by way of RNAcentral
AACAUCAGUGAUUUUAUUGCUGUCGACAACUUCUGUCAAUCAAUGAUGAAGUUGUUUUCGAGUCGAGCGAAGAAUGACUUGACCCGUCGCUGGGCACCUGGCUUUGAAAGGUCGUUCAGAUCCUUUUGGAUAAUCCGGGAAUCAGCAGUGGUUACAGUU